Molecule: long non-coding RNA, 1153 nt
Organism: Mustela erminea (ermine)
Lineage: Eukaryota; Metazoa; Chordata; Mammalia; Carnivora; Mustelidae
Exons: 3
Source: RefSeq, a predicted model, not a curated record
AUGGUUUCCUUUGCUGUGCAGAAUUUAGUUAGUUGGAUGUAGUUCUGCUUAUUCUUCCUUUUGUGGCUUUGCUUUUUGGUGUCAUACCCAAAAAAUCAUUGCCAAAACCAGCGAUAAGGAACUUUCCACCUAUCUUAUCUUCUAGGAGUUUUAUGGUUUCAGGUCUUACAUUCAAGUCUUUAAUCCAUUUUGAAGUAAUUUUUGUGUGUGGUAUUGACCUCCAUUUUUGUCUGGUUGACCUAAACCUUAACUGCUGAAAUCAUUCCUGAUUUUACCAGGCAGAGGAAUUUCUCAAGAAUUAUAAAUGUAUAAUUUCUUGUCCAAAUUAGGAUAUUUGUGAGAGUGAAAAGGGGUGUUAUUGAUUAUUAAACUUGGACAAUAGAUAAUAGCUUGGGCUGUCCCAAGCAAACCAAGAUAUAUGGUUACCUUAGUGUGAGAACAUAAUUCUCCUUGGUUCUCUGAAGUUCUGCAUGUCUUAUGAACAUUGCCAUUGCCAGUCUUUUGUUCAGGACUGCUUUUUCAAGAUUGUCAGUAUGGCAAACAACCUCAGAUGAGGGUAUCUCUCUCUGGAGUAGAAAGAAAAGAUUGAGAGUUCUAAAUUUAGCGUUCCUCUUCUUUAGCACAUUCUACUCUGUGUGCAGGUGUCUCCUGGCCCUUCUUGUGUAAUCUUGUGGGAAUUGGGACUUGAAGAACUGGCUCAAGAAAAUGAUCUUCUCGUUACUGCUUUUUCUGUGUGUAAUAAACUGUCCUUUGUCUUUAAUCGAGGAGUCUUGUGUCUACUGCUAACCUCCAUGAAAUUGUGGCAUGCUGACUUGUUUGUUUGCUAAUAGGAAUGUCUUAUUGAAAGAAGAUAUGAAAUUGUGACUAGAAAAAAGCCAAAGGACUUUGAAGAGUGUGCCCUUGACCUCAAGUCCUUCCACAUAUAAACUAAGCUAAUUAGCUGCAGUGCUGUUGCAGUAUGGUACAACUUGGCAAUUGCUUCUCAGUGUUCAACGUGUUAUCUACAAUAGCUCAUGAAGCAGAGACACUUGAAACUUUCCUCUGUUGCCAGUGAGCAUGCAAGUUCUGCUCUUACAUUUGAUGCUGCAGGAAAGUUUUCACUCUUUUACUCUGACUUCCUAGGCCUGUGGAAUGAAGGUAGGCUAAAAAACUU